AUUGAACGCUGGCGGCAUGCCUUACACAUGCAAGUCGAACGGCAGCACGGGAGCAAUCCUGGUGGCGAGUGGCGAACGGGUGAGUAAUGUAUCGGAACGUACCUUUCAGUGGGGGAUAACGUAGCGAAAGUUACGCUAAUACCGCAUAUUCUGUGAGCAGGAAAGCAGGGGAUCGCAAGACCUUGCGCUGAUUGAGCGGCCGAUAUCAGAUUAGCUAGUUGGUGAGGUAAAGGCUCACCAAGGCGACGAUCUGUAGCGGGUCUGAGAGGAUGAUCCGCCACACUGGAACUGAGACACGGUCCAGACUCCUACGGGAGGCAGCAGUGGGGAAUUUUGGACAAUGGGGGCAACCCUGAUCCAGCCAUUCCGCGUGAGUGAAGAAGGCCU
This 387-nucleotide ribosomal RNA is filed under the name uncultured bacterium. RNAcentral's name for it is "bacterial SSU rRNA". It matches the Rfam family "Bacterial small subunit ribosomal RNA", at positions 30 to 417 of the family's 1533-position model. The record is from RNAcentral.